CCUACGGGUGGCAGCAGUGAGGAAUAUUGGUCAAUGGACGAAAGUCUGAACCAGCCAAGUCGCGUGAGGGAUGAAUGCUCUAUGGUUUGUAAACUUCUUUUAUAUGGGAAUAAAAUGUUCCACGUGUCUGAUUUUGUAUGUACCAUAUGAAUAAGGAUCGGCUAACUCCGUGCCAGCAGCCGCGGUAAUACGGAGGAGCCGAGCGUUAUCCGGAUUUAUUGGGUUUAAAGGGAGCGUAGGGGGCUUGUUAAGUCAGGUGUGAAAGUUUGCGGCUCAACCGGAAAAUUGCAGUUGAAACUGGGAGGCUUGAGUACAGUAGAGGUGGGCGGAA
Molecule: ribosomal RNA, 331 nt
Filed under: uncultured bacterium
Lineage: Bacteria
Description: partial 16S ribosomal RNA
Rfam family: Bacterial small subunit ribosomal RNA
Source: RNAcentral